RNAcentral lists this long non-coding RNA (688 nucleotides) under Rattus norvegicus (Norway rat). Its description in RNAcentral is "long non-coding RNA NONRATT001435". The record is from RNAcentral. Lineage: Eukaryota; Metazoa; Chordata; Mammalia; Rodentia; Muridae.
CGGGGGGCGCUUCCUGGGGCCGCGCGUCCAGUGAGCUGCGCGGUCCGUCCGUCCGCCCGCAGGCACUGCUGGAGUCAACGCCCCCAGGAUGCUCCCAUUUGCCUCCUGCCUCCCCGGGUCUUUACUGCUCUGGGCGUUUCUGCUGUUGCUCUUGGGAGCAGCGUCCCCACAGGAUUCCGAAGAGCCGGACAGCUACACGGAAUGCACAGAUGGCUAUGAGUGGGAUGCAGACAGCCAGCAUUGCCGGGGUGAGUAUGUCUGGGGUACUAGCCAUCUUCAGGAACUGGGAAGGGGAUUACUUCUGUUUCCCAGGGACACCUUAUCUCCCAGAGCUGCAGCAGGAACUUGAUGGCCUUCCCACUGUCCACCCUGGUAGCCAGCCAUCUGGUAGGCAGCCAUGCUUCUCUUGUGCCACUCAAUUAGGAGCCCUACCCCUUCAAGAGGGUGAACAAACUCUGCCUCUGUCCUGCAGGAGGCAAGAGAGCACCUGGCUAUUGCCCAGAAAGAAGGAAAUACGUACACCUUCCCUGAACUGCACUGCACUCUCCCAGCCCAGCUCUAUCCCAGUGCACCCUGGGAGGGCAGUACAAGCUCUGUGGGUCAGGAGGCCUGCAAAUUACUCUUGGGCAAAGGUAGAGGCAGGGAUUUGAAGAGAAACGGAAACUCACAUGGAGGCAGGAGAAUGGGG